UACGUAGGCAGCAAGCGUUGUUCGGAGUUACUGGGCGUAAAGGGUGCGUAGGCGGUCCUGUAAGUCUGGUGUGAAAUCUCCCGGCUUAACUGGGAGGGUGCGCUAUAGACUGCGGGACUAGAGGGUGGGAGAGGAAAGUGGAAUUCCUGGUGUAGCGGUGAAAUGCGUAGAUAUCAGGAGGAACACCGGUGGUGUAAACGGCUUUCUGGACCAUUUCUGACGCUGAGGCACGAAAGCGUGGGUAGCAAACAGG
RNAcentral lists this ribosomal RNA (253 nucleotides) under uncultured bacterium. RNAcentral describes it as "partial 16S ribosomal RNA". It matches the Rfam family "Bacterial small subunit ribosomal RNA", at positions 524 to 776 of the family's 1533-position model. The record is from RNAcentral.